Molecule: transfer RNA, 72 nt
Filed under: Camelus bactrianus (Bactrian camel)
Lineage: Eukaryota; Metazoa; Chordata; Mammalia; Artiodactyla; Camelidae
Also listed under: 2 other names
Rfam family: tRNA
About the family: Transfer RNA (tRNA) molecules are approximately 80 nucleotides in length. Their secondary structure includes four short double-helical elements and three loops (D, anti-codon, and T loops). Further hydrogen bonds mediate the characteristic L-shaped molecular structure. tRNAs have two regions of fundamental functional importance: the anti-codon, which is responsible for specific mRNA codon recognition, and the 3' end, to which the tRNAs corresponding amino acid is attached (by aminoacyl-tRNA synthetases). tRNAs cope with the degeneracy of the genetic code in two manners: having more than one tRNA (with a specific anti-codon) for a particular amino acid; and 'wobble' base-pairing, i.e. permitting non-standard base-pairing at the 3rd anti-codon position.
Source: Rfam by way of RNAcentral
GAGGGUGCAGCUCAGUGGUAGAGUGCAUGGUUAGCAUGCAUGAGGUCCUGGGUUCAGUCCUCAGUACCUCUG